GCCCGAGUGGGGUAGCGGUAACCUUGGAGACUGUGGAUCUCUAGCUGCGGGUUCGAUUCCCGCCUCGGGCCCA
Molecule: transfer RNA, 73 nt
Filed under: Candidatus Thorarchaeota archaeon
Lineage: Archaea; Promethearchaeati; Candidatus Thorarchaeota
Description: tRNA-His
Rfam family: tRNA
About the family: Transfer RNA (tRNA) molecules are approximately 80 nucleotides in length. Their secondary structure includes four short double-helical elements and three loops (D, anti-codon, and T loops). Further hydrogen bonds mediate the characteristic L-shaped molecular structure. tRNAs have two regions of fundamental functional importance: the anti-codon, which is responsible for specific mRNA codon recognition, and the 3' end, to which the tRNAs corresponding amino acid is attached (by aminoacyl-tRNA synthetases). tRNAs cope with the degeneracy of the genetic code in two manners: having more than one tRNA (with a specific anti-codon) for a particular amino acid; and 'wobble' base-pairing, i.e. permitting non-standard base-pairing at the 3rd anti-codon position.
Source: RNAcentral